UACGUAGGCAGCGAGCGUUGUUCGGAAUUACUGGGCGUAAAGAGUGUGUAGGCGGUGUUCCCAGUCUGUUGUGAAAUCUCCCGGCUUAACUGGGAGGGUGCAGCGGAAACUAGAAUGCUAGAGGGUGGGAGAGGUAAGCGGAAUUCCUGGUGUAGCGGUGAAAUGUGCAGAUAUCAGGAAGAACACCCGUGGCGAAGGCGGCUCUCUGGGACGGUACUGACGCUGAGACGCGAAAGCGUGGGGAGCGAACAGG
RNAcentral lists this ribosomal RNA (253 nucleotides) under uncultured bacterium. RNAcentral's name for it is "partial 16S ribosomal RNA". It matches the Rfam family "Bacterial small subunit ribosomal RNA", at positions 524 to 776 of the family's 1533-position model. The record is from RNAcentral.